RNAcentral lists this ribosomal RNA (253 nucleotides) under uncultured bacterium. RNAcentral describes it as "partial 16S ribosomal RNA". It matches the Rfam family "Bacterial small subunit ribosomal RNA", at positions 524 to 776 of the family's 1533-position model. The record is from RNAcentral.
UACGUAGGUCCCGAACGUUGCGCGAAUUUACUGGGCGUAAAGGGUCCGUAGGCGGUUUAGCAAGUGGUUGGUGAAAUUUCACGGCUCAACCGUGAAACUGCCUUCCAAACUGCUAAACUUGAGGCAGGGAGAGGUCGGCGGAAUUCCCGGUGUAGCGGUGAAAUGCGUAGAUAUUGGGAGGAAAACCAGUGGCGAAGGCGGCCGACUGGAACUGUCCUGACGCUGAGGGACGAAAUCUAGGGGAGCAAACCGG